This is a long non-coding RNA of Ornithodoros turicata, 269 nucleotides long. RefSeq lists it as uncharacterized. The record is from RefSeq and is a predicted model, not a curated record. The transcript is spliced from 3 exons. Lineage: Eukaryota; Metazoa; Arthropoda; Arachnida; Ixodida; Argasidae.
AAGCUUGUAUGAGGACCGGUCUAGUGAUACACCCUCUGUCAGUUUCAUCUCGUCAACGAGGAGGGCUCCUGAAAUUUAGCGAUAUUAAGUGUAAAUCCCUAGUGCGUAUGUUCAAGUUUUACCACACAGUGAUAUGGGGUACGAGCAACGAAGGCAUCAGGAACACAUUUGCUUGCACUCUACAUGAUUAAAAUAACAGCCCAGAACCAAGUGCAGUCAAGCACCAAGCUGCCCAGAAGAGCACUUCACAAAGGAAGAAGAAGAAACCU